GCUAAAAACCUAGCCCAACAAUUUUCUAACAUUUUUUUUAUUUUAUCUCAAAAACUAAAACAUUAUAACAAUUUAGUAAAGGCGAUUAAAAAAUUAAUUGGAGCUAUACAAGAAGUACCGCAAGGGAAAGCUGAAAUAAAAAUGAAACAAACACUUAAGCAAAAAAAAGUAGAGAUUUUUCCUCGUACCUUUUGCAUCAUGGUUUAACUAGUCUAAUCAAGCAAAACGAAUUCAAGUUUGACCUCCCGAAACUAAGCGAGCUACUCCAAGGCAGCCUUACGGGCCAACCCGUCUCUGUUGCAAAAGAGUGGGAAGACCUUCGAGUAGAGGUGAUAAACCAAACGAGCCUAGUGAUAGCUGGUUGUUUGAUAAAAGAAUUUUAGUUCUCCCUAAAGCUUUAUUAUGAAAAUUAAACUAAUCCAUCUGCUUUAGAGCUAUUCAAAUAAGGUACAGCCUAUUUGAUUUAGGAUACAACCUACACUAAUGGGUUAUUCUCAAUACGAUAUUAAGUAGGCUUAAAAGCAGCCAUCUUUAAAAAAGCGUCAAAGCUUAUUUAUUAUUAAUUUUUUAAUUACACAAAUUAAUUUUAACCCUUUUUUUACAUCAAACAAUUCUAUAUUCUUAUAGAAUAUAUUAUGUUAAAACUAGUAAUAAGAAGAAAACCCUUCUCUUAAAUGUAAAUAUAAGCCAGAAAGGAUAAACCACUGUCAAUUAACAUAUAUAAACACUAUUAGCAACAUCACAAGAAAAUCCUACUAAAGUUAAUGUUAACCUAACACAAGCACAUUUCAAGAAAGAUUAAAAAAAAAAGAAGGAACUCGGCAAACACUAACCCCGCCUGUUUACCAAAAACAUCGCCUCUUGAUAAAUAAAUAAGAGGUCCAGCCUGCCCAGUGACCUAGUUCAACGGCCGCGGUAUCCUAACCGUGCGAAGGUAGCGUAAUCACUUGUUCUUUAAAUGAGGACUAGUAUGAAUGGCACCACGAAGGUUUCACUGUCUCCUUUUUUUAAUCAAUGAAACUAAUCUUCCCGUGAAGAAGCGGGAAUAAAUUUAUAAGACGAGAAGACCCUAUGGAGCUUUAAACAAACUAACACUUGCAACAACCCUACCAUUUUUAUUAUAAAAAUCACAGCAUUAUGAUUAAUAGUUUUCGAUUGGGGUGAUCACGGAGAAAAAUUUAACCUCCACGCUGAAAGGGCCUUCCCCCUGAGCAAAAAGAUACAACUUUACGCACUAACAAAUUAACACACAUUGACCCAAUAUUUUGAUCAACGAACCAAGUUACCCUAGGGAUAACAGCGCAAUCCACUUUAAGAGCUCCUAUCGACAAGUGGGUUUACGACCUCGAUGUUGGAUCAGGGUAUCCUAGUGGUGCAGCCGCUACUAACGGUUCGUUUGUUCAACGAUUAAAACCCU
RNAcentral lists this ribosomal RNA (1417 nucleotides) under Boana roraima (Hoogmoed's treefrog). RNAcentral describes it as "Hypsiboas roraima (Hoogmoed's treefrog) partial 16S ribosomal RNA". It matches the Rfam family "Bacterial large subunit ribosomal RNA", at positions 132 to 2597 of the family's 2925-position model. The record is from RNAcentral. Lineage: Eukaryota; Metazoa; Chordata; Amphibia; Anura; Hylidae.